GACGAACGCUGGCGGCGUGCUUAACACAUGCAAGUCGAACGGAAAGGCCCUGCUUUUGUGGGGUGCUCGAGUGGCGAACGGGUGAGUAACACGUGAGUAACCUGCCCUUGACUUUGGGAUAACUUCAGGAAACUGGGGCUAAUACCGGAUAGGAGCUCCUGCUGCAUGGUGGGGGUUGGAAAGUUUCGGCGGUUGGGGAUGGACACGCGGCUUAUCAGCUUGUUGGUGGGGUAGUGGCUUACCAAGGCUUUGACGGGUAGCCGGCCUGAGAGGGUGACCGGCCACAUUGGGACUGAGAUACGGCCCAGACUCCUACGGGAGGCAGCAGUGGGGAAUAUUGCACAAUGGGCGGAAGCCUGAUGCAGCAACGCCGCGUGCGGGAUGACGGCCUUCGGGUUGUAAACCGCUUUCGCCUGUGACGAAGCGUGAGUGACGGUAAUGGGUAAAGAAGCACCGGCUAACUACGUG
This 468-nucleotide ribosomal RNA is filed under the name uncultured bacterium. Its description in RNAcentral is "partial 16S ribosomal RNA". It matches the Rfam family "Bacterial small subunit ribosomal RNA", at positions 28 to 507 of the family's 1533-position model. The record is from RNAcentral.